GAGGUGUUAGUUAAAUCAUAACUUUUCCUUGUCAAGGCAACAUUACAAGUUAAACCCCUGUACAUCUCU
This 69-nucleotide transfer RNA is filed under the name Elachistocleis ovalis (common oval frog). Its description in RNAcentral is "tRNA-Asp". It matches the Rfam family "tRNA". Rfam says of the family: Transfer RNA (tRNA) molecules are approximately 80 nucleotides in length. The record is from RNAcentral. Lineage: Eukaryota; Metazoa; Chordata; Amphibia; Anura; Microhylidae.